UAUGAUUUUACUUAGCCAAUUUUUUAGGGUACUAUUAUUACAAAAUACUUAAGGUUAUCACCACUUUCCAUUCAAACUUUUAAUACACUUAAGUUUUUAUGUCAUCAAGACAUAACUAAAACAACAAAAUUAGGCAGGAUAACAACUCUUAUAUCUUAUGGUAAGGGAUCUAGAUUCUGGAACUGUUUACAAAUAAGUAAGUGAUUUGGGGACUAUUGUAAAUUUGAAUUAUGACACAUUCAUUGUAAAUUGCUAUAAUAAAGUUGAACCGUAAUAAAUAAACCUGAAGAGACAGGGGAAAAUUUGAAUGAUUAAAUAUUUGAAGUAAACAAGGUGUGAAUUAUUGAUAGUUAAUAUCGCCAACUUUGAAUGGUGCAGGGCCCAAGAAGGUUACUAAACUUAUCCAGAUUGUGUUGCUAGUCUUGACUAUUUUUUUGUUAUUUAAUUAUUUGUCUUAUCUAAACAUCAUACAUACAGUAUAUGGCCAUCAUGCACAGAACAGCAAUAAGGAAAAAAACUUUAUUGUAUACUAAAAUACUAGAUAAGGAAUCACAUUCAUAAACGCAUACAAUAAGAAAUCACAAAACACUGUACAAUGUAGUAUACAGUGGUGGGGUCAGAUUCAUAUCACGUCAUGAAAGUUUUCAUGGAAAUUACUGGCUUGCCUAACAGUGCAGUUGCUAUAUGUAGUAAACAGGAGAAUAUACAGCCAGUGGCAAGAGGUGGGGUCAGAUUCAUAUCACGUCAUGAAAGUUUUCAUGGAAAUUACUGGCUUGCCUAACAGUGCAGUUGUUAUACUUUUAUUUAUUCACGUGCCUUAUCUUAAUCUUCCAGUUAUAGUGUUCUUUGAUUGGCAAAAAACCACAAAACCAGUGUAUUGUUAAAUUUGUGAUAUGUGCAGAAAAUAAAUAAUGAAUGAAAACAGAGUGAGCCGAUGGUGUUUUAUUUGAAAAUUUGUGAAGUUACCUGAUGAUGGAAAGGCCUCGCAAGAAUAAAAGUGAUAUUGGAAAUGUGUAUUAAUUUACCAAUGAUAUUAAAUUAAGAAUGUAUGUUUAAAAUCUAAACCAUGAAAUGUGGUUUUAUUAUUUGGAACUCUGCUACAGUUAUACAACUUUGUUUAGUGCUAUAAUUUUUGUUAAUUGAGAAAAUGGUUACAACAAAUAUUAUUAAAAGCAAGUAAAAGUUAUAUUAUUAAACUUACAGAACAAAUCUAUGCUUUAGAAAUAGUACAUAAAAUCACAUGUAAACAUUUUUAUUUUAGAAAUCUAAAAUCUAUUAGUAACAUAUAAAUGAACAAAAAUACAGUACAUCAUUAAGCAUAGUACAGUAAUAACUUUUCAUAAUCAUAAAUCUGAAAAAAUAAAACAUUUGGCAAGUACCUUCAAUUACAACAUAUACCUUCAUUUGAAAUAAAAAUAAAAAUUGAAUACAUGUAUUUUUAAUGGUUUCUUUAUUUUACACAUACUUGCUUUAAUCCAGGCUCACCAAUAGAAUGAUGUUAUUUAAUUUUUUUAGAAAUUUAACCCUUUUAGGACAACUCAGGUUUUAGAUUUUUAAUGCUAUGAAGACUGUCCAGUUCUUUAUUUGAUGUUUGUUUUUGACAAUGGAAGGAUUGUGACGAAAACAUGAUUUUUUUCUAGAAAUUUGCCAUUGUUCAGUGAUA
This 1663-nucleotide long non-coding RNA is filed under the name Homalodisca vitripennis (glassy-winged sharpshooter). Its description in RNAcentral is "uncharacterized LOC124363236". Lineage: Eukaryota; Metazoa; Arthropoda; Insecta; Hemiptera; Cicadellidae. The record is from RNAcentral.